RNAcentral lists this ribosomal RNA (253 nucleotides) under uncultured bacterium. RNAcentral's name for it is "partial 16S ribosomal RNA". It matches the Rfam family "Bacterial small subunit ribosomal RNA", at positions 524 to 776 of the family's 1533-position model. The record is from RNAcentral.
UACAGAGGUGGCAAGCGUUGUUCGGAAUUACUGGGCGUAAAGGGCGCGUAGGCGGCCAUCUAAGUCAGACGUGCAAGCCCGUGGCUCAACCACGGAAUUGCGUUUGAAACUGUUUAGCUUGAGUACAGGAGAGGAAAGCGGAAUUCCCAGUGUAGCGGUGAAAUGCAUUGAUAUUGGGAAGAACAUCUGUGGCGAAGGCGGCUUUCUGGUCUGUUACUGACGCUGAGAUACGAAAGCCAGGGUAGUGAACGGG